GACGAACGCUGGCGGCGUGCUUAACACAUGCAAGUCAAACGGAAAGGCCCUGCUUUUGUGGGGUGCUCGAGUGGCGAACGGGUGAGUAACACGUGAGUAACCUGCCCUUGACUUUGGGAUAACUUCAGGAAACUGGGACUAAUACCGGAUAGGAGCUCCUGCUGCAUGGUGGGGGUUGGAAAGUUUCGGCGGUUGGGGAUGGACUCGCGGCUUAUCAGCUUGUUGGUGGGGUAGUGGCUUACCAAGGCUUUGACGGGUAGCCGGCCUGAGAGGGUGACCGGCCACAUUGGGACUGAGAUACGGCCCAGACUCCUACGGGAGGCAGCAGUGGGGAAUAUUGCACAAUGGGCGGAAGCCUGAUGCAGCAACGCCGCGUGCGGGAUGACGGCCUUCGGGUUGUAAACCGCUUUCGCCUGUGACGAAGCGUGAGUGACGGUAAUGGGUAAAGAAGCACCGGCUAACUACGUG
Molecule: ribosomal RNA, 468 nt
Filed under: uncultured bacterium
Lineage: Bacteria
Description: partial 16S ribosomal RNA
Rfam family: Bacterial small subunit ribosomal RNA
Source: RNAcentral